CCUACGGGAGGCAGCAGUGGGGAAUUUUGGACAAUGGGCGAAAGCCUGAUCCAGCAAUGCCGCGUGUGUGAAGAAGGCCUUCGGGUUGUAAAGCACUUUUGUCCGGAAAGAAAUCCUUGGCUCUAAUACAGUCGGGGGAUGACGGUACCGGAAGAAUAAGCACCGGCUAACUACGUGCCAGCAGCCGCGGUAAUACGUAGGGUGCGAGCGUUAAUCGGAAUUACUGGGCGUAAAGCGUGCGCAGGCGGUUUGCUAAGACCGAUGUGAAAUCCCCGGGCUCAACCUGGGAACUGCAUUGGUGACUGGCAGGCUAGAGUAUGGCAGAGGGGGGUAGAAUUCCACGUGUAGCAGUGAAAUGCGUAGAGAUGUGGAGGAAUACCGAUGGCGAAGGCAGCCCCCUGGGCCAAUACUGACGCUCAUGCACGAAAGCGUGGGGAGCAAACAGGAUUAGAUACCCUGGUAGUC
This 465-nucleotide ribosomal RNA is filed under the name Burkholderia cenocepacia. RNAcentral describes it as "bacterial SSU rRNA". It matches the Rfam family "Bacterial small subunit ribosomal RNA", at positions 338 to 795 of the family's 1533-position model. Lineage: Bacteria; Pseudomonadati; Pseudomonadota; Betaproteobacteria; Burkholderiales; Burkholderiaceae. The record is from RNAcentral.